UACGUAGGGUGCAAGCGUUGUCCGGAAUUCUUGGGCGUAAAGAGCUCGUAGGCGGUCUGUUGCGUCGGCUGUGAAAACCCGGGGCUCAACCCCGGGCCUGCAGCCGAUACGGGCAGACUAGAGUUCGGCAGGGGAGACUGGAAUUCCUGGUGUAGCGGUGAAAUGCGCAGAUAUCAGGAGGAACACCGGUGGCGAAGGCGGGUCUCUGGGCCGAUACUGACGCUGAGGAGCGAAAGCGUGGGGAGCAAACAGG
Molecule: ribosomal RNA, 253 nt
Filed under: uncultured bacterium
Lineage: Bacteria
Description: partial 16S ribosomal RNA
Rfam family: Bacterial small subunit ribosomal RNA
Source: RNAcentral